GGAUGAGGUAGUACGUUGUAUUGUUGUGGGGUCGGGAUUCGUGCCCCAAUCAGAGAUAACAAUACAACUUACUACUUUCCC
Chrysemys picta bellii (western painted turtle) is the source of this 81-nucleotide microRNA precursor. The record is from Ensembl. Lineage: Eukaryota; Metazoa; Chordata; Testudines; Emydidae.